UACGUAGGGCGCGAGCGUUGUCCGGAAUUAUUGGGCGUAAAGAGCUCGUAGGCGGCCUGUCGCGUCCGCUGUGAAAUCCCGGGGCUUAACCCCGAGCCUGCAGUGGAUACGGGCAGACUAGAGGUAGGUAGGGGAGAAUGGAAUUCCCGGUGUAGCGGUGAAAUGCGCAGAUAUCGGGAGGAACACCGGUGGCGAAGGCGGUUCUCUGGGCCUUACCUGACGCUGAGGAGCGAAAGCGUGGGGAGCGAACAGG
RNAcentral lists this ribosomal RNA (253 nucleotides) under uncultured bacterium. RNAcentral's name for it is "partial 16S ribosomal RNA". It matches the Rfam family "Bacterial small subunit ribosomal RNA", at positions 524 to 776 of the family's 1533-position model. The record is from RNAcentral.